This 2272-nucleotide long non-coding RNA is filed under the name Marmota monax (woodchuck). Lineage: Eukaryota; Metazoa; Chordata; Mammalia; Rodentia; Sciuridae. The record is from RNAcentral.
UUUUUUUUUUUUGUGAACGAAAUUUUUAUUUACACACUGUAUCUAGGAGCAGAUACAUAAACUCUUAUACAAUUAAUUUCCAAAAAUGUGCAAGAAAUUACUAUAAUUUGUUUACAAACCAAAACACAUAUUAAAAUCUAUGGACUUUGGAUAGUUCGUUCUGUGGUGUUCUCAGUACAAAUGGUACACACCUGAUUUGAAACAUACAGAAAAAGUGUAAACUACAGCAAUCUGGAUUGCAAGUAUUAAUUUCAUGGCACUCCAACAACUAUGAAAUUUCUUUAACCCAACAUAUAUACUAUUACAAAAUUCUAUAAGAAUUUCUCCUCAUCUCUGGAUGUAGCAUUUGGAUAACUUUUCAGGAACAGUGACUACACAUUUUGCCAUGUUAUGAUUGAUCAAUAAAAAGGAUGUUUAUAAAAGACCUUUUUUUACAGGAUUAAAAAAGUAUUAAAAGAAACCAAAUCUGUGAUUACUAGCGUACCAACACCUUUAGAAUUUAAAUUUAUGGAACUGGCUAUUGUUCCUUAUUAGAGUAUUCAACAAAAGUAUCUAUUGCUGGUAGUGUGAUUUCACUUUCAAAUUAAUAUUUCACAUUCAAUGAAAAGCAAUUAAGUUUUAAAUCAAAAUAUAUUAUUUUGAAUCAUUCAUAAAGCAAUAUCUCUCAUAUACUAUGUGACACGUACAAUAAUUAAAAUUGGCAUUCCUGAAAGCAUUGUUAGAAAGAUAGACCUGUGGCACUAGGAAACAUUGCAUAAACCUAUUUAAGAUUUUAGUAACUUUUAUCCUGUUUCAAUAAUACUGGCUCAGAAAAUAUAACAUAUACUUUGUGUUUCAUUUCCUAUAUGCCAAUGAUUUUGCCUUUUGGCACGUGAUUUUCUUCAAUGGCAAGAGGGCUGCCCUAGGUAGCUGGUUUCCUUAAAACUAUUUUUAGUUCUAGGUCAUUUCCUGUGAUAUAAUGUGUGACUUUUUAAAUUUUCAUAUUGCACCAAGCAGAAAGAAAACAGUUUUCCUUAGACAGAGAAAGGAGACAUUUUUCAAGUACAUUCCACAGCUUUCUUUUCAUUUAUAAAAUGCAUUGUCAUAGUAAGCCUCAAAAUAGCUUCCAGCCUCCACCAAGCUCUAUGAUGAAAUAUUUGAUUAAAAAAAAAAUUACCUCUGAUCCAUUUACUGUCACAAAUGGACACAGCUUCCUGUUUUCCAGGAGGUCUGAUUUCUUUUAAAGUACAUACUUGAGAAUCACUUACAAGUUGGGUCCAUGUCACUUAAGUUCCCUUUCAACAGAAUCCACAAACUUCAACAAAUAGAAUCUAGACCAAGCUAUAGGAUAAAGAUUUCUCUCUUUCUCCCCUUUCCACUUUUACCAGACCAUUUCAGUAUCAGAAAAGCCAAUCUUCCACAUUAUGUCAAACUGCCUAGGUCAAAAGAGGUACCUCUCUACACAUAAGCAGCAAAUUCUGCAAUACACAUUUCUGUUUGCAAAUUUAAUUUCUUGGCAAAUCCUUUGAUUUUUAUCUAUAUACUAUAAGAACAUAACAAUUUCAAGUUGAAUUAUAAUAGGGCAUAUUACUUUAAGGUAUUUUGCAUUAUGAAUACACCAAAGUACAUAAAAAAUUGUUUUUCCAAAUUAGAACAGUAUUGACUUGCCCUCCAAAAAACCACAAAAUACAAUUUAAAAAACAUUUGGAUAAAGGUCAAAAUAAUCUUGACACUACAUAGGCAUAUUUUAAGCACAUGGCAUUAUGAGAAAAUGCAGGGACAGGCUACAUCCACAGAGAUUGGUAGGUGUGGUCCCAAGGCCUCUGUACCGCCAGCUCACCGAGGACAGACAGACACAAAGAAGCCAUCUCAACACUUACCAUCAGCACAAGUGACUGUGACAAUACCUGCCAUCUAACAUGGAUGCACAAGGACUUCUAGAUAUAUUUUAAAUUGUUUAAAAAUAAAUAGUUUUGCAAAAAUAGUUAAAUGUCUUGCAUCAAUUUGAUCACAUGGUUACAACUCUGUAAUAGUUCUUAAUCCAAAUAGCUUAUAGUGAACACUUAAAUUAUAUUAUUAUAGAAUACGCCAUAUUCCAUCUUAUUAGGUGAAAACAUCAAAAAAUGAAAGGAGUCUUUGUAACAAGGUACAAUCAAUGCCCCACCAAAAUGAAGUACCUUUCCCCAUUUAAGUCAAAAUACCAAACACUGUGAUAUGGCAUUGUGCCUUUCCUUGGUAAUAUCUCAGUUCUGUCUCUUAAAAAAAAAAAAAAAAAAAAAAAAAAAAAAACAGG